UUGAUCCUGGCUCAGGAUGAACGCUGGCGGCGUGCUUAACACAUGCAAGUCGAACGAUGACCCUGUGCUUGCACAGGUGAUUAGUGGCGAACGGGUGAGUAACACGUGAGUAACCUGCCCCUGACUCUGGGAUAAGCCCGGGAAACUGGGUCUAAUACUGGAUAUGCACCGUGGACCGCAUGGUCCUUGGUGGAAAGAUUUUUUGGUCAGGGAUGGACUCGCGGCCUAUCAGCUUGUUGGUGAGGUAAUGGCUCACCAAGGCGACGACGGGUAGCCGGCCUGAGAGGGUGACCGGCCACACUGGGACUGAGACACGGCCCAGACUCCUACGGGAGGCAGCAGUGGGGAAUAUUGCACAAUGGGCGAAAGCCUGAUGCAGCGACGCCGCGUGAGGGAUGACGGCCUUCGGGUU
RNAcentral lists this ribosomal RNA (412 nucleotides) under Arthrobacter sp. 01WB02.4-18. RNAcentral's name for it is "bacterial SSU rRNA". It matches the Rfam family "Bacterial small subunit ribosomal RNA", at positions 13 to 424 of the family's 1533-position model. Lineage: Bacteria; Bacillati; Actinomycetota; Actinomycetes; Micrococcales; Micrococcaceae. The record is from RNAcentral.